RNAcentral lists this long non-coding RNA (2863 nucleotides) under Felis catus (domestic cat). Its description in RNAcentral is "lncRNA (ENSFCAG00000048123.1)". The record is from RNAcentral. Lineage: Eukaryota; Metazoa; Chordata; Mammalia; Carnivora; Felidae.
AUGGCUGGCUGUGGAUGAUGGCUAUGAGAACAGAAAGACCAGCCAGAGUGGAUGAAGGUGAAUUUGACCAUAAGGAAGUCCAAUAGGAAAUAAGGUGACAUCAAAGAUGGACACAUGGGGGGGCGCCCAGGUGGCUCCGUCAGUUAAGCGUCUGACUUUGGCUCAGAUCAUGAUCUCACGGCUUGUAAGUUCGAGCCCCGCAUGAGGCUCUGUGCUGACAGCUCGGAUUCUGUGGCACCUGUCUCUCUGCCCCCUCCCCUGCUGUCACUCUGUCUCUCUCCCUCCCAAAAAUAAACAUGAAAAUUUUUAUUUUUUUUUAUUUUUUUUUAAACGUUUAUUUAUUUUUGAGACAGAGAGAGACAGAGCAUGAACGGGGGAGGGGCAGAGAGAGAGGGAGACACAGAAUCAGAAGCAGGCUCCAGGCUCUGAGCCGUCAGCCCAGAGCCCAACGCGGGGCUCGAACUCAUGGACCGUGAGAUCGUGACCUGAGCCCAAGUCAGAUGCUCAACCGACUGAGCCACCCAGGCGCCCCGAAAAUUAAAAAAAAAUGGACACAUGGGGGUGCCUGAGUGGCUCAGGUGGUUGGGCAUUCGCCUUUGGCUCAGGUCAUGAUCUUGCGAUUUGUGUGUUCGAGCCCCACAUUGGGCUUUCGGCUGGCAGCACAGAGCCUGCUUCAGAUCUUCUGUCCCCCCCCUCUCUGUCCCUCCUUCAUUCAUUCUCUCUCUCUCUCUCUCUCAAAAAAAAAAAAAAGAUGGACACAUGGCAAGGCAUGAGGAAACAAGAUAGGAGCCAGGUGACAGUGAACUGGAGAAUAUUCCCGCGUCCAUAGCUUUACUCCUGUGUAAAUGAAAAGCCUCCUCUCUGGGCUACUAACCGGACCACAAGGACUGCAGUAAUCUUUUACUGAUGCCUAUUAGAAGCAGGUACUUUAUACAGCUCCCAUUUUCUUCCCACAGUGUCCUAAGUGGGCUUUUAGGGGUUCCAUGAAAAACGCUUCUCUCUUUCUCUUCCGAAAUGAGGACCCCAUGGAAAGAAGAUCCAGGAGACUGGCGAAUGGAGACCAGCGUGAGCUUUUUAUCGAUAAACUGGGCAGCAUGGCCUCCUAUCUGUGGUCAGAGGUUUUACUGCGCUCCACUUUCCCGCCGUGGACCUGGGACAGCCCACCAGGGAAAACACAAACGAGUCAUCUCUCAAGCAGAACCUGCUUCCUGGGUCACAAUUUCUACCUCUGGAUCGGCAGCAUGAUCCCCCUGUCCCCCCAAGUUGUCUGCACGAGGCUUUAGAAGAUGUCCUCUCCAGCUGUCGCACGCAAAGGACUCACCUGGGUAUCUCGUGAAAAUGUAGAUUCUGACGGAGUAGACCUUGGGACUGGGGCCUUGAGAGUCUGCACCAGCCCUGAGUGAUGUCACUGUUGGUUGACCUAGCACGUUUGGAAUAGCAAGAUUUACUGGCUUUUGCCUCCAGAAGUUUUCCCACUCGGUUUUGCAUAUGCGGAUGUAGGCAGACAAACUCGAGAACGGAGGCAGGUCAGUGUCUGUAUAGAGCUUUGACUCUUACUUCCGUAAACCGUUCCUGCAGGGCUGCUCUCCCCCGGACUUUGCUCCUUCUUGUCCAUGUCCCUUUCCCUAGCUGGACAACCAGGAAGCGAUGUGUCGAUGCUUGUGUGUGCCACACCUGUGCCUCAGGUUGUCUUCCACUGUCAUACAACGUAAUUUCUUUUCAUUUUCUUUGAUGUCCCUUUUUCACUGGGAACCUGAUUCAGGAUACCGUGGAUGGUAGCUAAUGGUAACAGCAGGCCUCACAUGUGCACAAAGCACCUUAAUACCCACAAGACAGUAGGGGUAGAGGCUAUGGGCCAGGGCUCCAGAGUCUGCCCACCUACAUUCAAAUCCUGCCUCUGCUACUUUCUAGCUGGUCGGCCUUGGGCAAGUUACUUAACCUCUCUGUGCUUCCAUUUCAUCAUUUGCACAAUGUGGCUAACGAUGCUUCGUGAGUCGUUGAGAAGAUCAAAUGAGAUAAUGUGUGUGAGGCACUCAGAAGGGACCUGACAUAUAGGGGGCCCUCGAUCACAAUCGGUGAUGUUAUAAUUCCUCAAUCCCAUGAGGAAGCCGAGGGAACCCGAGGCUCAAUGAGGAGAAGUGAGUCGCACUCAGGAUUCCACAUCAAGAAUGGUGGCACAGUUGGGACCAGAUCUGACUCCAACUCCAGUGCUCACUGCGCCCCCACCAUACUUCCAAAUGCCAAGUUUUAUUGCCCUAAGAUUUUAGCACAGAGUGUGGCUGCUUUCCCAGCGUUCGACUGAUCUUUUGUUUCCUUUCCUUCUAAUGGAGCAUUUCCAGCUGGGGUGAUUCAUGGAUCUGGGACCGCAUGGCUCCCAUUAACUUCGAGGAAAGUCAUAAGGCAAAACCCACAUCAGUCAAGCUUCCAAAUUAUUCAUCCAUCUUUACAGGUGACACGUGGAUUAAGACGAACAGGGAGUGAAGUGGGUAUCGUACAAUAACUAUUUAGAUUUAUGAAAAUUGCCUAAGAGCUUAUGCCAAGUCCCCACACUGAACUUUGUUUUGUUUUCACAAGGUUGAACUUUAGGGAUGAGGGAGAGGAUGUCACAAGAGAAUGGCCUUGAAGCUUGAAGUCCGAGGGGCUGGGACUCCCAGCUUCACUACUAGUUAGACUUGUGAUUUUUGAGAAAGGCUUUUAACCUCUUAGAAUCUGUUUUCUCGUUCUGUUAUUCAUCCUUACGAUAAACCAAGGAGUUAGUUACUGUCCCCAUCGUACAGAUGUUGAAACUGAGGUACUGAGAAGUUAAGUGACUUGAUGGUGACCAAAAAAUAAAGCAGCCUUCGAACCCCCUAUAUUUGAGUCC